This 465-nucleotide ribosomal RNA is filed under the name Vreelandella stevensii. RNAcentral describes it as "partial 16S ribosomal RNA". It matches the Rfam family "Bacterial small subunit ribosomal RNA", at positions 338 to 795 of the family's 1533-position model. Lineage: Bacteria; Pseudomonadati; Pseudomonadota; Gammaproteobacteria; Oceanospirillales; Halomonadaceae. The record is from RNAcentral.
CCUACGGGUGGCUGCAGUGGGGAAUAUUGGACAAUGGGCGAAAGCCUGAUCCAGCCAUGCCGCGUGUGUGAAGAAGGCCUUCGGGUUGUAAAGCACUUUCAGUGGGGAAGAAAGCCUUGGGGCUAAUACCCUCGAGGAAGGACAUCACCCACAGAAGAAGCACCGGCUAACUCCGUGCCAGCAGCCGCGGUAAUACGGAGGGUGCGAGCGUUAAUCGGAAUUACUGGGCGUAAAGCGCGCGUAGGCGGUCUGAUAAGCCGGUUGUGAAAGCCCCGGGCUCAACCUGGGAACGGCAUCCGGAACUGUCAGGCUAGAGUGCAGGAGAGGAAGGUAGAAUUCCCGGUGUAGCGGUGAAAUGCGUAGAGAUCGGUAGGAAUACCAGUGGCGAAGGCGGCCUUCUGGACUGACACUGACGCUGAGGUGCGAAAGCGUGGGUAGCAAACAGGAUUAGAUACCCCUGUAGUC